Molecule: ribosomal RNA, 444 nt
Filed under: uncultured bacterium
Lineage: Bacteria
Description: partial 16S ribosomal RNA
Rfam family: Bacterial small subunit ribosomal RNA
Source: RNAcentral
GUAGGGAAUAUUGGGCAAUGGUCGGAAGACUGACCCAGCCAUGCCGCGUGCAGGAAGACGGCCCUCUGGGUUGUAAACUGCUUUUAUCUGGGAAGAAAAAGGUCAUGCGUGGCAAAUUGCCGGUACCAGAUGAAUAAGCACCGGCUAACUCCGUGCCAGCAGCCGCGGUAAUACGGAGGGUGCAAGCGUUGUCCGGAUGUAUUGGGUUUAAAGGGUGCGUAGGCGGCUGAUUAAGUCAGCGGUGAAAGACUCCGGCUUAACCGGAGCAGUGCCGUUGAUACUGGUUAGCUUGAGUGUUGGAGGGGUACAUGGAAUUGAUGGUGUAGCGGUGAAAUGCAUAGAUACCAUCAGGAACACCGAUAGCGAAGGCAUUGUACUGGCCAACAACUGACGCUGAUGCACGAAAGUGUGGGGAUCGAACAGGAUUAGAUACCCGGGUAGUCC